This 407-nucleotide ribosomal RNA is filed under the name uncultured prokaryote. RNAcentral's name for it is "bacterial SSU rRNA". It matches the Rfam family "Bacterial small subunit ribosomal RNA", at positions 355 to 776 of the family's 1533-position model. The record is from RNAcentral.
UGGGGAAUAUUGGGCAAUGGGGGCAACCCUGACCCAGCGACGCCGCGUGGGGGAAGACGGCCUUCGGGUUGUAAACCUCUUUUGUACGGGAAGAAGGAAGUGACGGUACCUGAGGAGGAAGCCCCGGCUAACUACGUGCCAGCAGCCGCGGUAAUACGUAGGGGGCGAGCGUUGUCCGGAAUGACUGGGCGUAAAGGGCGCGUAGACGGCUGUCUAAGUCUGGAGUGAAAGUCCUGCUUUCAAGGUGGGAAUUGCUUUGGAGACUGGAUGGCAUGAGUGCGGAAGAGGUAAGUGGAAUUCCCAGUGUAGCGGUGAAAUGCGUAGAGAUUGGGAGGAACACCAGUGGCGAAGGCGACUUACUGGGCCGUAACUGACGUUGAUGCGCGAAAGCGUGGGGAGCGAACAGG